Molecule: long non-coding RNA, 339 nt
Filed under: Pongo abelii (Sumatran orangutan)
Lineage: Eukaryota; Metazoa; Chordata; Mammalia; Primates; Hominidae
Description: lincRNA
Source: RNAcentral
AACCUGUUUCUGGUCAUGCUGUGAAUCUGCAUUCUUUACUGUGUCCUUGGGAUACUAGGAGGAACCAUAGGAGCAGAUCCUGCUAGGAGGCUAAGCAUGAAGAAGGAAUUCAAAGAAACCUUGUGGAGAACAAAGACACAGCAAGGAGUCUCUGAUCAAGUGCCACAUCUUUAGAGAAGCUUUUCCAAACAACUCUGCAUUCAUCAACCCAUGGAACCACCCCCCUGCCAUGAAAGCUAGCAAGAGGCCAAGACCCACAGAACAACCACCAUCACCCCUCUGUCAGCAGGAAGCAGUUACAAAAGACUAAUCUUUGCCCAUUUUCCCCAAAGAAUUGGG